Molecule: ribosomal RNA, 483 nt
Filed under: uncultured bacterium
Lineage: Bacteria
Description: partial 16S ribosomal RNA
Rfam family: Bacterial small subunit ribosomal RNA
Source: RNAcentral
GACGAACGCUGGCGGCGUGCUUAACACAUGCAAGUCGAACGCUGAAGCUCAGCUUUUGUUGGGUGGAUGAGUGGCGAACGGGUGAGUAACACGUGAGUAACCUGCCCCCUUCUUUGGGAUAACGCCCGGAAACGGGUGCUAAUACUGGAUAUUCACUGGUCUUCGCAUGGGGGUUGGUGGAAAGGGUUUUUCUGGUGGGGGAUGGGCUCGCGGCCUAUCAGCUUGUUGGUGGGGUGAUGGCCUACCAAGGCUUUGACGGGUAGCCGGCCUGAGAGGGUGACCGGUCACAUUGGGACUGAGAUACGGCCCAGACUCCUACGGGAGGCAGCAGUGGGGAAUAUUGCACAAUGGGCGCAAGCCUGAUGCAGCGAAGCCGCGUGAGGGAUGGAGGCCUUCGGGUUGUGAACCUCUUUCGCUCAUGGUCAAGCCGCAACAAUGGUUGUGGUGAGGGUAGUGGGUAAAGAAGCGCCGGCUAACUACGUG